This 253-nucleotide ribosomal RNA is filed under the name uncultured prokaryote. RNAcentral describes it as "partial 16S ribosomal RNA". It matches the Rfam family "Bacterial small subunit ribosomal RNA", at positions 524 to 776 of the family's 1533-position model. The record is from RNAcentral.
UACGUAGGGUGCAAGCGUUGCCCGGAUUUAUUGGGCGUAAAGAGCGUGUAGGCGGCCAGGCAGGUCCGUUGUGAAAACUCGAGGCUCAACCUCGAGACGUCGAUGGAAACCGUCGGGCUAGAGUCCGGAAGAGGAGAGUGGAAUUCCUGGUGUAACGGUGAAAUGUGCAGAUAUCAGGAAGAACACCCGUGGCGAAAGCGGCUCUCUGGGACGGUACUGACGCUGAGACGCGAAAGCGUGGGGAGCAAACAGG